RNAcentral lists this ribosomal RNA (253 nucleotides) under uncultured bacterium. Its description in RNAcentral is "partial 16S ribosomal RNA". It matches the Rfam family "Bacterial small subunit ribosomal RNA", at positions 524 to 776 of the family's 1533-position model. The record is from RNAcentral.
UACGUAGGGUGCAAGCGUUGUCCGGAAUUAUUGGGCGUAAAGAGCUCGUAGGCGGUUUGUCGCGUCGACUGUGAAAACCCGGGGCUCAACCCCGGGCCUGCAUUCGAUACGGGCAGACUAGAGUUCGGUAGGGGAGUCUGGAAUUCCUGGUGUAGCGGUGAAAUGCGCAGAUAUCAGGAGGAACACCGGUGGCGAAGGCGGGACUCUGGGCCGAUACUGACGCUGAGGAGCGAAAGCGUGGGGAGCAAACAGG